UACGUAGGUGGCGAGCGUUGUCCGGAACUAUUGGGCGUAAAGGGCCCGUAGGCGGUUCGGAAAGUCUCCUGUUAAAUCUCCCGGCUUAACUGGGAGCCGUCGGGGGAUACUUCCGGACUUGAGACCAUCAGAGGCAAGCGGAAUUCCCGGUGUAGUGGUGAAAUGCGUAGAUAUCGGGAGGAACACCAGUGGCGAAAGCGGCUUGCUGGGGUGGUUCUGACGCUGAGGGGCGAAAGCGUGGGGAGCAAACCGGAUUAGAUACCCUCGUA
This 269-nucleotide ribosomal RNA is filed under the name uncultured prokaryote. RNAcentral's name for it is "partial 16S ribosomal RNA". It matches the Rfam family "Bacterial small subunit ribosomal RNA", at positions 524 to 792 of the family's 1533-position model. The record is from RNAcentral.